RNAcentral lists this long non-coding RNA (993 nucleotides) under Oryctolagus cuniculus (rabbit). RNAcentral's name for it is "lncRNA (ENSOCUG00000034179.1)". Lineage: Eukaryota; Metazoa; Chordata; Mammalia; Lagomorpha; Leporidae. The record is from RNAcentral.
GUGAUUGCACCAGAAGGGCUCUGUCCUCCUGAAGGGGCUGAUCCCAGUAUCACAGGAGUGGCUCAGUCCUUGAAAGAGUGCAUUCUUGACAAAAGAGUGACUUUGCCUGACUCUUCCUCACAGGCCCUCUACCCUGUGUAACACCCUGCCAGAGAUGGCCCUUCACUGGGAAUUCCAGCCUACAGAACCCAAAUGAGUGCCUGUUGUUGAUAAACUGCACAGUCUGUGGUGGUCUGUUACAGCAGCAGAACAUGCGCUGGGACAUGGGCUUCUGCCAGUGUCUGAUCCUGCUAUCUGUUGAGCUUGGUAGCAGUCCUAACAGUAAUUGCUGUGUUUACUGAGCACUUACUCCAUGCCCAUGGCCUUGCUGCAUUAGCUUAUUAAUCCUUACAGCUUCCUACAAGGUAGAUACAUUUUCCACACCUCCAACGCUAGGGAAUGAGCCCUAGUUUAGAGGUUUCAUUUAUCCAGUGGUGAUUUCCUGAGUGUUUACUUUGUGCUAGGCAGCCUUCUCAGUGAAGGUGCAGUGCUGAACAAAACGUGCCAGUAUGGAUUUCUAUCCUAGUACCAACUGCCCGAAGUUACAAGAGGGGAGUUGUGAAGCUGGCUCAUGUCAUUAGUCACUUCCUAUCUGCUUUCCUUUUUCAGCACCACACCCUGACCACAUGGCUGCUGACCACUGCACCUGCUUCACAGGGGGCUGGCACCUCAGCAUGGAGAUGAGCAAUGGCGAACACACAGAAGGGCCUGGUUAUCCUCAUGACUCCUGGGGCCACAGCUAGUGCAGGAGUUUUGCGGUAUUGAUGAUACAAGAAACACAUGCCUUUUAAGAAAGGAGGAAGAACUUCAGUUGCACAUCAUUUUCCAAGUGAGUACUGGAUGUUGUGGAUUUUGGGUUCCACAAUAGGACUGCAUAUUCUUUGACAGUUUUCUGACACUGUCCCAUCCUGUUGAAUGUGGAUGGGUUUGUGACUACUUCACCAAGAGAGUAGG